GAUAUUGCACAAUGGAGGGAACUCUGAUGCAGCAACGCCGCGUGAGGGAAGAAGGUCUUCGGAUUGUAAACCUAAGUAGUCAGGGAAGAUAAUGACGGUACCUGAAAAGUAAGCUCCGGCUAACUACGUGCCAGCAGCCGCGGUAAUACGUAGGGAGCGAGCGUUGUCCGGAAUUACUGGGUGUAAAGGGAGCGUAGGCGGGGAAUUAAGUCAGACGUGAAAUCUAUGGGCUCAACCCAUAGCGUGCGUUUGAAACUAAUUUUCUUGAGUGAAGUAGAGGCAAGCGGAAUUCCUAGUGUAGCGGUGGAAUGCGUAGAUAUUAGGAGGAACACCAGUGGCGAAGGCGGCUUGCUGGGCUUUUACUGACGCUGAUGCUCGAAAGCGUGGGGAGCAAACA
Molecule: ribosomal RNA, 397 nt
Filed under: uncultured bacterium
Lineage: Bacteria
Description: partial 16S ribosomal RNA
Rfam family: Bacterial small subunit ribosomal RNA
Source: RNAcentral